CUCACUGAGUCUUUCACAAUGUGGCGACUUGCUUAUUGGUGAUGAAAGACUUCUCAUGUAUUGAGAUGCUAUUCUAUGUGCCCUGGAAAGUUCUUCCACUUUAAAUUUCUCAUGUCACUGUAACAUUUGCUUGCCUGUUUGGAUGUUAAUUUCACAAAAUUAAUAUUUUUAAUGCUUCCAUAAUAUUGCUUACUAUCAGAUUGGAAUUUCUUCCUCUAUAGUGAAUCCAAAUACAACUCACCCAGAACUGACCCCUUCAAGGGAAACAAGCAUGGGACAGUCAUGCAACCAGACAUCCCACAGGGACUUGACAGCAUACCCCAUGCUCCAGGCCAGGAGGAGAGGUGGCACUGGGAGGCAGACACUGAGGACAAGAUGGGAUGGGUCCUAGCUAUUGACAAGGACAAUGCUGGAGGGAGUCAUCUCUGUGUCACCUGAAAAUGAGUUCGGGCAGUGGGUGCUAUGGACACGAGUCCUGGGCAAUGCCCUCUUGUCAUGCCUCCUCUCCCUGAAGAUGGCCCAGGAGGGGUCAUAUUCUCCCUUGAGUGUGCCUGUGGACACCUCUUCUUUUAUAACACGACCAAGUGCCCUAUUGUCACCUUCCCCCAUUUUAUUCUCUGAAACUCUACACCUACUCUUCAUUCUUUGGCCCCUAAUGUAGGUUCUCCUGGCACAGUUCCCUUGGACUUUGGAAACCAAAAUUAGAUUCCAAGCACCAGCUUGUUUCUUUUUUUACCUUCAAGUGGGACUCACAAGACCAUCAGGUACCAGAUCUAAAGUGCUGUAAUCUCUGGCUUCAAAUUUGAUUUGGUGACUGCUCCCUUCAGAGACAUAACCAUCCCAAGUCCUCUGAUAUCCUGCCUACUGAUCGCAAUCUGAUAUCUGAUGACCAAAGACCCUUAGAAAGUCCAAUGGGGAAUGCAAUUUAGCCUAGAGAAGGACAUGCAAGAAAUGGUCAAGUAUUUUAUUGGUUUCUUUAACAAGAUGACAAUUAAUUAUCCAAGUAGGGCUGAGAAAUUAUAAAUACAGUUUAAAAAGAGUAAAAGAAAAUACAGCUGAAUAUACAGAGAAAACCGAUCACUAAGAUAUAAUCUAGAAAAUCAUGGAAAAUGUGGAAUCCCAGACUUUUUCAGAAAGUUAAUAGAAAAUGUGGAGUGGAGACAAUUUUCAGAAAUUCUAGUCCAAGAGAACAUUUAAUUAUGUAUCAUGUAUAUGAAAUGUCAAUUUUGUUUUUAGAGAAAAAUGAAACAGUUUAAAAAUCAAUAAUUAUGAAAUAAACAUAAGCAAUAAAUGUAACAGAGUAAAAAUAUGUUAACAUCAUAAUAAAUUAAAGAAGAGAAGUUACAUGAGGAAGAAGAAAUAAUGUGAAAAAAAUGUCUUGGAAAAAGUCUUAACAUCUUCUGAGGUGAGAGUGGGGAAAACCUGCAAAUGACACUGCUGUUUCCCAGGUUGGCAAUCAUCAUAGAGUUUUGCUGUUCUGUGAAGGUCAUUCAUCUACAGCAGCGGUUCUCAACCUGUGGGUCGAGACCCCUUUGGGGGUCAAACGACCCUUUCACAGGGGUCGCCUAAGACCAUUGGAAAACACAUAUAUAAUUACGUAUUGUUUUUUUGAUUAAUCACUAUGCUUUAAUUAUGUUCAAUUUGUAACAAUGAAAAUACAUCCUGCACAUCAGAUAUUUACAUUACGAUUCAUAACAGUAGUAAAAUUGCAGUUAUGAAGUAGCAACGAAAAUAAUUUUAUGGUUGGGGGUCACUACAACAUGAGGAACUGUAUUAAAGGGUCGCGGCAUUAGGAAGGUUGAGAACCACUGAUCUACAGCAUUCUGGAGUUUCUUUCCAGUCAUGAUAUUCUUGUUUUGUGUUUGAAACCAUGUUAAUUCUUCCACAGUUAUGGACACAUUUAUUUUAUUUAGUUCUUAAAAUUUUUUAAUUGAGGUAUGUGGAGAGCGGCUACAAUGUUUGGACAGGUUCAAGCCUGGGACUAAUGAGAGGGCACGAUCUUCUCAUGGCAAAGCCACGUGCAAGUCCCAGAACAAUUAUAGCCAAAGGCUAUAGUUGUAAGCUUGACCUUAUGGUCCAAGCCUGUGGUCCCACAUGGCUAAGUGAUAUGGGCUGUGGGAGGUGCAGCAAGUAAACAAAGCUUGAUCAGGCACAUAAUUGAGUAGAUUCGAAACCUGCAAGAGCAUUGUAAAUAUCUUGACCAUGCCCUUACUUUGCCUCGUGGAAUCUGGCUAUAAAAUAAAGACUUGGCUUACAGGCUGUGGCGUUAUCUCUCCAUCAGAGAGGGCAGUGUCUCACCUAGACUAAGUUUUAUUCUCUUGGCCAUGCCAGCUCAGCACAGAGGUAAAAUACACAUAACAUAACGUUUAUCAUUUUGACCAUUAUAAAGUACACAAUUCAGUGAUAUUUAUACUUUCAUAAUAUCAUGCAGCCAUCAUCAUUAUCUAUUUCCUGAAUAUUUUCAUUAUUCUAAAGUGAAACUCCAUACCCAUAAGCAGGCACAACACAUUUUUCCCUCUCCCCAGCCCCAGGUAACUGCUAAUCUAUUUGGUCCUGAUGUAAUUACAUAUUCUCAAUCUAUACUAAUAAAAGGCUAAUAUGCUAAUUAGACUGGAAAUCUUCUGGAUAACCUUCUGGACGUCCUUCUAGACAAAGCCAUGGUGGCGAGGCUGAAGCAGAGAUGGUUAGGGGAGAUCAGGCUGGCAGGGUAGAGCAGUUAGGGGGAUCAGGCUGACAGGGGAGAGCAGAUAGGGUGAUCAGGUUGGCAGGGGAGAGCAGAUAGGGUGAUCAGGCCAACAGGCAGGUGAGCGCAUAGGAGCCAGUGGUUCUGGAUUGUGAGAUUGGGAUUGGGCCAAUCAGACAUCCCCUGAGGGGUCCCGGAUUGGAGAGAGUGCAGACCAGGCUGAGGGACAACCCCCCAGGUGAGUGAAUUUUGUGCACCUGGCCUCUAGAAUCCUAUCUAAUAAAAGACAAAAGGGUAAUUAAUCAUACCUUCGCUACGCUUCCCAUGGGCUGACCAGUGAGAUAUGCAAAUUAACUGCCAACCAAGAUGGCGGCCGGCAGCCAUGCAGCUGAAGCAAGCAGGAGGUUUCUUGCUCCAGUGAUGGAGGAAGCCAAAGUUCUCCACCUUCUGCAGCCCAGCUCUGAGUUCUGGAAGCAACAAUGUUUCAAUUUUAGAAGUUAAACAAACCCCAGAUACCUGCUUUCAGCCAGCCGCAGCCUCAGAGCUGGGAGUGUCAGUGAAGGCAACAAUGUUUCAAUUAUAGAAGGAAGGGAAGGCUCACUCAAAAGGAGAAGCUCGUAUUUUAUAUCCUUGAAGACACAAGCUUGGUGAUGUUAGAGAAGGCUUAGCUGCAUUGAGGCAAAGGAAACCUCAACAGUGGGAAGGACACCGUCAGCGAGGAAAACAGGCAGUGCUGUCAACUCUUCUCCAUGAAGGCUGCACAUGUUUCUCCGUGUUUAUUUGACUAAUUUUACUUUUUACUCUGAAAUCAUAAACUGCAACGUCAAUUCCUUUCUCAUUCACAUAUUCACAGAGGACAGAAGUCUGGACUUGCUGACCAGUGAGAACUUGUCUGUAUACAUAAAAGCCUCUCUCUCUAUAUAAGCCUAAGCUGCCGAAUGACCAAACAACCAGUCGACCGGUCGCUGACCACCAGGGGACAGACGCUCAAUGCAGGAGCUACUCCCCGGUGGUCAGUGUGCUCCCACAGCGGGAGCACUGCUCAGCUGACUGACAGGCGCUAGACACAGGGCUCAUGGCUGGCAAGCGCAGCUGCAGCCUCUCCCGCCUCCACGGCAGUGUUACCAAGCAGUGGCUACCAAGCGACAGUGGUGGCAGGUACAGCAAGGCCAGGAUGAGUGGGAGCAGUGCCCAGCCCAGGCUCAAGCUCCUCCCUGGGUGCCUGCUGCUUCACACACUACUACAUUCCUUGGGUGAUGUCAGACUGCCGGUUUGGGGCCUUCAGGGAUCCGGUCGAAACCAGCAUUCCAACAUCUCUUGAGGGGUCCCAGAUUGCUAGAGGGCACCAGCCAGGCUGAAGGAUACCACCUGUGCAUGAAUCUGUGCACCAGGCCUCUAGUUAAUAAAUAAAAGGCUCACCUCAAGAAAGCUUGGUCUCCCACUGGAAAGGUUUUACCACUCCUCCACCACAUGGAAGACUCCAGGUUUACAAGUCGAAGGGCAAGGAGGCAAGGACAAGCUGAGCUAUUAACUUUCAAAAGAUUUGAAUGAUUUCUGUGUAUUUCCAAUAACAGUAACAUGUACCGAGAAUUCACUCAGAUGUUGACCCUUCCCUUUAGACACCACCCCUCCUCCACGUUUGAUAACACAAACAAUAAGUGUAGAAAAUUUCUCUGUAGAUGUAUUUUAUAAAAUAUUUUAAUAUAAAUCUUUAUUGUUGAAAAUAUUACAUGUGUCCCUUUUUCCCCCCAUUUCCCUCUCCCAACUCCCUCCCCUCUAAGCCUUCACCACCCACUGUCUGUGUCUAGGGGUUAUGCAUGUACGCAUGAGUUCAUUGGUUGAUCUCUUCCCCCUUCCCCCCUCCCCUGCCUUCCAUCUGAGCUUUGAAAGUCUGUUCGAUGUUUCUAUGUCUCUGGGUCUAUUUUUCUUCAUCAGUUUGUUUUUCAUUAGAAUCCACAUAUGAGUGAGAUCAUGUGAUACUUAUCUUUCUCUGACUGCCUUAUUUUGAUAAGCAUAAUGCUCUCUAGGUCUGUCUAUGCUGUUGCAAAUGGUAAGAGUUCUUUCUUUUUUUACAGCUGCAUAGUAUUCCAUUGUAUAGUAUUUAUUUCAACACACACUGAGCAAUGGAACAGAAGAGAUACCAUGCAUUUGUUUGCAGUUUUCUUGUGACAAAUGGUUACUGCUCAUAGAGACCA
Molecule: long non-coding RNA, 4878 nt
Organism: Myotis daubentonii (Daubenton's bat)
Lineage: Eukaryota; Metazoa; Chordata; Mammalia; Chiroptera; Vespertilionidae
Source: RefSeq, a predicted model, not a curated record